CAGCAGCCGCGGUAAUACGGAGGGUGCAAGCGUUAUCCGGAUUUAUUGGGUUUAAAGGGUGCGUAGGCGGGAGAUUAAGUCAGUGGUGAAAUCCUACAGCCUAACUGUAGAAAUGCCAUUGAUACUGGUUUUCUUGAGUAUAGUUGAAGUGGGCGGAAUGUGUAUUGUAGCGGUGAAAUGCUUAGAUAUUACACAGAACACCUAUUGCGAAGGCAGCUCACUAAACUAAUACUGACGCUGAGGCACGAAAGCGUGGGGAGCAAACAGGAUUAGAUACCCUGGUAGUCCACGCCGUAAACGUUGAUUACUCGAUGUGUGCGAUACACUGUACGCGUCUGAGCGAAAGCAUUAAGUAAUCCACCUGGGGAGUACGAUCGCAAGAUUGAAACUCAAAGGAAUUGACGGGGGCCCGCACAAGCGGAGGAGCAUGUGGUUUAAUUCGAUGAUACGCGAGGAACCUUACCUCGGCUUAAAUGUAAUUGAUUUCCACCGAAAGGUGGUUUCCCUUCGGGGCAAACUGCAAGGUGCUGCAUGGUUGUCGUCAGCUCGUGCCGUGAGGUGUCGGGUUAAGUCCCAUAACGAGCGCAACCCCUAUCGUUAGUUGCCAGCGAGUAAUGUCGGGGACUCUAACGAGACUGCCGGUGUAAACCGUGAGGAAGGUGGGGAUGACGUCAAAUCAGCACGGCCCUUAUGUCCAGGGCUACACACGUGUUACAAUGGCCAGUACAGAGGGCAGCUACCUGGUGACAGGUUGCAAAUCUCGAAAACUGGUCCUAGUUCGGAUCGAAGUCUGCAACUCGACUUCGUGAAGCUGGAUUCGCUAGUAAUCGCGCAUCAGCCAUGGCGCGGUGAAUACGUUCCCGGGCCUUGUACACACCGCCCGUCAAGCCAUGGAAGUUGGGGGUGCCUGAAGUCCGUAACCGCAAGGAGCGGCCUAAGGUAAAACCAGUGACUGCGGCUAAGUCGUAACAAGGUAACCGUA
This 982-nucleotide ribosomal RNA is filed under the name uncultured bacterium BURTON-2. RNAcentral's name for it is "bacterial SSU rRNA". It matches the Rfam family "Bacterial small subunit ribosomal RNA", at positions 509 to 1504 of the family's 1533-position model. Lineage: Bacteria; Pseudomonadati; Bacteroidota; Bacteroidia; Bacteroidales; Bacteroidaceae. The record is from RNAcentral.